UUGCACUGUUCGUAACCUUUUGACAGCAUUUUUCUGUGAAUAGGUUCCAUUCCAGUGCUACAUUAAAUCCAAUAAUAGAAGGCUGACAAAUUCCGUGUCCCUUCUGUAUUUGGAGACAAAG
Molecule: small nucleolar RNA, 121 nt
Organism: Malurus cyaneus samueli
Lineage: Eukaryota; Metazoa; Chordata; Aves; Passeriformes; Maluridae
Source: Ensembl